GUGCUGACUUUGGCAGCACAUACACUAAAAUUGGAACGAUACAGAGAAGAUUGUCAUGGCCUCUGUGCCAGUAUGACACGCAAAUCGCGAAACGUUCCAUAUUUAA
Molecule: small nuclear RNA, 106 nt
Organism: Mesocricetus auratus (golden hamster)
Lineage: Eukaryota; Metazoa; Chordata; Mammalia; Rodentia; Cricetidae
Source: Ensembl